This 442-nucleotide ribosomal RNA is filed under the name Schizochytrium sp. VDC23b. RNAcentral describes it as "bacterial SSU rRNA". It matches the Rfam family "Eukaryotic small subunit ribosomal RNA", at positions 608 to 1071 of the family's 1831-position model. The record is from RNAcentral. Lineage: Eukaryota; Bigyra; Thraustochytrida; Thraustochytriidae.
AGUUGUUGCAGUUAAAAGCUCGUAGUCGAACGUAUGGUGUGUGUGCGUGUCCGUCGGUGGGUGAAUGCUUGCCGAACAGUGACACGUGCGCUGCCAGUCUAAUAGGUCUUGUGACUUGCUUCUUUCACUGUAAAAAAAUUAGGGUGUUUCAAGCAAAGGUUGAUAUUGGAAUAUGAUAGUAUGGGAUGAUGAGAUAGGCCGUUGGCGGUAUUUUGUUGGUUUGCGCGUUGGCGGAAUGAUGAAGAGGGACAGUUGGGGGUAUUCGAAUUCUAGUGUCAGAGGUGAAAUUCUUGGAUUACUAGAAGGCGAACGACUGCGAAAGCAUUUACCAAGGAUGUUUUCAUUGAUCAAGAACGAAAGUAUGGGGAUCGAAGAUGAUUAGAUACCAUCGUAGUCCAUACCGUAAACGAUGCCGACUCGCGAUCGUUUCCCGGCUCUUGAA